Aedes aegypti (yellow fever mosquito) is the source of this 766-nucleotide long non-coding RNA. RefSeq lists it as uncharacterized. The transcript is spliced from 2 exons. The record is from RefSeq and is marked validated. Lineage: Eukaryota; Metazoa; Arthropoda; Insecta; Diptera; Culicidae.
ACCAUGUUUAACGCCAGACGUACCGCGCUGAUGCUGUGUGCAAAAACGCGAGGUUUUUUAUGUGUUGUACAAAAUACAGCAGCGUAACUAUUAAAAUGCUAACAGACAAUCAUGAAAGCAAAUGUAUUGUGACUGCGAAACUUGAGCGGCACUCCGGUCCAACAAACGUUAAGUUUACUGCAUGAUGCUUUCCAUGGAUAACUUCGAAGCAGACGAACCAAAGCCCAAUUACGAACAUAAUGACCAAGAUCAGAAAGCAGAAGUCGGCCAUGUUGCUAAAGUUGACAUGAAAACUUCCUUACGAUCUUCGUCAGAGAGUAGCGAUGACUGUGUCAUCAUUGAAAAACCAAUCCCGGUCAUCAAUCUGUGUUCUCCCGAUGAAAUGUUUCUUCGUCAACGCAGAAUAGUGAAGUGUUCACCGUCAAUCGAUAGCGAUGAUGACUGCGUCAUUAUCGAUGAACCAAUUCCAACCAUCGAUCUGUGUUCUCCGCAUGUAACGUCCAUUAUUCGUGAUGAUCCUGCCAGUAAACUGUGUUCGUCGAAUGAUUUUAACUUCCGAAACAAACGAGUGCAUCACUGGAGUUUGGAUGGUGUUCCUGAGUUGGAAAAUUGUGCCUUGUAUAACCAGGCCAUAGGUAACAGGAAAAGUGUCCCAGAGAUCAAAACGUAUGAAGAGCUCUCUAAUUAUCGUAGUUUUGCCAAGCAGCACUAGAAUGUACAUAUUAUAUUGUUGUAGAUUAAAUAAAUUAAGUGUUUCCAAAUUUCA